UACGUAGGUGGCAAGCGUUGUCCGGAUUUACUGGGCGUAAAGAGCGCGCAGGCGGUCGUUCAAGUCGCGUGUGAAAGCCCCCGGCUCAACUGGGGAGGGUCACGCGAUACUGUUCGACUCGAAGGCAGGAGAGGGAAGCAGAAUUCCCGGUGUAGUGGUGAAAUGCGUAGAUAUCGGGAGGAAUACCAGUGGCGAAGGCGGCUUCCUGGCCUGUUCUUGACGCUGAGGCACGAAGGCCAGGGGAGCAAACGGG
RNAcentral lists this ribosomal RNA (253 nucleotides) under uncultured bacterium. RNAcentral describes it as "partial 16S ribosomal RNA". It matches the Rfam family "Bacterial small subunit ribosomal RNA", at positions 524 to 776 of the family's 1533-position model. The record is from RNAcentral.